Molecule: long non-coding RNA, 1502 nt
Organism: Amphiprion ocellaris (clown anemonefish)
Lineage: Eukaryota; Metazoa; Chordata; Actinopteri; Pomacentridae
Source: Ensembl
CUAGUCUGCUGUAUAUAUCUAUGGUCGGCACGUCUGGUAGCAUCUCUGACUGCUGUUGAUCUUGUUUUUGGAGUAAAACACGGUGGAAGCUGAAUUAGUGAGGAUGACUCCUGCUCCUGUCAUCUCUAAGCUCCUCACACAUCUUUACCUGCACAUGAGGAAAAUCACUCCUGUAGAAUGCAGUGGUUCAUCAGAACCUCUGGGGAUGUCCUGUGGAUCCUGUGGGUUGCAGGGUGGGUCCUACCUAGACCAGGCUGAUCCUGGACCAUCCCACAGAUGCUCCAUCAGAUCUGGAUGUGGGGAGUGUGGAACCCAGAUGUUCAGAGGGAGAUGAUGCCACAUCUGGUCCAGCUGAUGGAAGGUCUUGAAGUUCUCUGACUGGCCUGGACUGAAGAUGGUCGUCUCACUGGAUUUAAGGUUCAGAUGCUCAGUAACAAACUCCACCAAUGUGCCAACAGGGAAGCUUUAGGUUUAUUAAAUGUUGCUAUGAAGGUUUCGCUGUUUUUCUUUGUGGAUGCAAUGUGCUCCAACUGAAACUUGAAUUAGAACUUAGAAGUAAAUCCUUCCAUCUGACAGGAUUUAGUUGCAUUAAUAACCUCAUAACAUUCUAAUUUUUAUUCCAGUCUUGGUUGGAAAUAGAAUCUCUGUAUUGAUUCAGGUAAAAACUGAACUUCACAGCAUGUUGGAGCAAAACAACCAGAUGAAAACUGUGAUGGUGUUGGAUUGUCAGACCGUAAUGUUGCAGCUCAAAGCAGCUUUUCUAUCUCAGUUCAUUCUGACAUUCAGCUAUGAAUCAACACAGCAGAUGGUGAUCCAUGCUGUGGAAGUCUCACAUCUCCUGAUUUAAUGGAGCUGCUUUACACUUUUUACACUGUUUAUUCACCAACACUUUAUUUAAUAAAAGUCCCAUCUAGUUUUUCAUGAGGAAUGUGAUGUUUUAAUUUCUCUGUGAAUAACUGCAGUCUAAUGGAACAGCUGGAGUUGUAACAUCUGUCCUGAUAUUGAUCAUGAAGUAUUGAUCAGAAUACUUAUGGUCAGCAGUCAUCCCUGAAGUUUUACAUUAAAAUCUUUACUUGUGUUGUGAACUUUGGUAAGAAGCAGAAACUUUAGCGUUGCCAUGGAUACAGGAGUGUUAAAUUCUGUCCAUGUUUCCAUUUUGGGAAAUUCAGUCCAGUUCCAGAAUGUGGAGGAAUUUAGUCUCACAAUCACAGACAACAAAUAUUAUCUGAAAGUCGAGUCAUUGUUGUUUAUCAGCACAAUACAAAAAGAUUAAUGUUAGAAAUAUUCCAGUUAAGACUCUAGAAUAUCAUGAUUUAUGUAAAUUUACCUCGAUAAUCUGAAUGUUCAGGUUAAGAUUGUACAGUGAUAUUUAUUAUGUAAGUUUAGCUGAUUAAAGUUUAUUAUUUAUUAUUUAAAUUGACAUCAUUAUUAUAAUAUUUAGGGUCAGACCCUACAGGAUUGAGAUUAAGAAAUCAAAUAUUCUAUAAAAUGUAAAUACACUG